UACGUAGGGUGCAAGCGUUGUCCGGAAUUAUUGGGCGUAAAGAGCUCGUAGGCGGCUCGUCACGUCGGCUGUGAAAACCCGGGGCUCAACCCGGGCCUGCAGUCGAUACGGGCGAGCUAGAGUUCGGCAGGGGAGACUGGAAUUCCUGGUGUAGCGGUGAAAUGCGCAGAUAUCAGGAGGAACACCGGUGGCGAAGGCGGGUCUCUGGGCCGAUACUGACGCUGAGGAGCGAAAGCGUGGGGAGC
RNAcentral lists this ribosomal RNA (245 nucleotides) under uncultured bacterium. RNAcentral describes it as "partial 16S ribosomal RNA". It matches the Rfam family "Bacterial small subunit ribosomal RNA", at positions 524 to 769 of the family's 1533-position model. The record is from RNAcentral.